CCCAAAAAAAAAAAAACCAUCCUCCGUCUCUCUUCCUCUCCCACAAGGAAGUCACCAAACUAACAUAUCCCGGACUCCCUCAUCUGUUUUCACUUCUCUUCUAGAGAGAGGAAGAAAUGACAGAAACCACGGGUUUCUCAAAACUCUCUGACGACGUCGUACUCAACAUCUUCUCCAAACUAGAAGACGAUCCACGCAACUGGGCCCGCCUCGCUUGUGUCUGCACCAAAUUCUCCUCUCUCAUACGCGACAUCUGCUGGAAAUCCAAAUGCAACAAAACCAUCCCUUCCGUCGUCUCCGAUCUCCUUUCCUCCCCUGACUCUCUUUUCCCUGGCGCCUGGUCUGCCCUCCACAAGCUUGCCGUCUGCUGCCCUGGCCUCCUCCACGCUGGUGUCUUCCUCGAGCACUCCGAUUUCGGCCUCGAACGCGAGCUCGGCCCCGACGAUUAUUUCCACAAAUCCAAAAACACUCCGUCCCAACAACCACAGCAAGCGUCUCAUUCCGGUUCUAAUUUAGACAAGCGCGACUCAUCCUGGUCCUUAUUUGAUGAUUUAUAUUACGACACUGUCUACAACGUGUACGAAUCACAGGAUGCGAUUACCGUUAGUUGUGAAGCGAAAGAAGAGGUAAUCGGUGGUAAUGAUGAUAAAAGUGUCGAUAUCUUCGUUAAGGCCCGCGGCAUCUCUUCUGUUGGCAAGAGAAGGAAGAUUUGUAGAUCUUUGAGUUCUCAUUUGGCAUCUGGUGUUUGGAAUUUGAGCAGAGAGCAAGGGAACAAGUUACUAGCGAGUCGGUUUCGAGGGGAUUGUUUGUACAUCUGUGACUGGCCUGGUUGUGCUCACAUCACAGAGAAGCGGAGUUAUAUGCUGUUUAGAGGGAUUUUUAAGAAUUUUAAGAAAUCGAGGGUCUGGAGGACGAUACAUGAUGGGGAUAGGAGCAAGAUUGAUUUGAGCUGUGCGUUUUGCGGGUGUCAGGAGACUUGGGAUUUGAAUUCUGCUUUUUGUUUGAAGAGAGGUUUUGGGUAUCAUGAUGAUGGUGAACCUGUUGUUCGAGCUUAUGUCUGUGAAAAUGGGCAUGUCUCCGGUGCUUGGACUGAUUGGCCAUUGUACACUUGAUGGUGCUAGCUGGGCUACCAGCUGAUUUUAUGAAACGAGGCUUAAUCCCAAAUACAGCUUCGCGGAUCCAACUCUGCGGUGAGUCAAAAUUUGCCUUUAAUUUUUUAUAUUUUGUCUUCCGCUUCUGCAAAAUUAGGUAUUUCGACAGUUUCUACAAUUAUUUUGGUAUUUCAUCUUCCCUUCAGCUUCUGCAAUUUGGUAUUUGCGUUCAGUUUUUGCAAAUUUGUUAUGUGUUUUGGAGUAAUCGUAUAAUUUCGAGAAGAUAUUUGUUUAGUUUCUGCAAUUUAGUAUUUUGUUUUCCGCUGCUUUUGCAUUCUGGUUAUCUGUGAUUGUUGAUUAUGGCUACUGAAAGAGAUGAUUCGCUUUAGUCUGUGAGUGUGAGGUUGGUUGGAAAGAACUAUUCGUAUUGGAGUUAUGUAAUGAGAAAUUUCUUUAAGGGUAAGAAAAUGUGGGGGUAUGUUAGUGAGAAUUAUAUAAUACCUAAGAAUAUUAAGGAGGGGGAUGUUGUUUUGAUAUAUACAUGGGAAACAAAUAAUGCAAAGAUCAUUACUUGGAUCAACAAUUCUGUUGAGCAUUCGAUAGGUAUGCAGUUGGCGAAGUAUGAGACAACAAAAGAGGUUUGGGAUCAUCUGCAAAGGUUAUUCACACAAUCAAACUUUGCAAAACAGUAUCAAUUAGAGAAUGACAUACGAGCUCUUCAUCAGAAGAAUAUGAGUAUCCAAGAGUUUUAUUCUGCUAUGAUAGAUCUUUGGGAUCAAUUGGCUCUUACAUAAUCGACAGAAUUAAAGACAUGUGGUGCCUAUAUUGAACGUAGAGAGCAAUAACGAUUGGUACAGUUUUUAACAGCACUUCGCAGUGAUUUCGAAGGACUUAGAGGUUCAAUUCUGCAUCGUUCUCCACUGUCUUCUGUUGACUCUGUUUUUAGUGAGUUAUUGGCUGAAGAAAUACGUCUUCAGUCUUAUUCUGAAAAGGGAAUUCUUUCUGCUUCAAAUCCUUCAGUAUUAGCAGUGCCUUCUAAACCAUUCUCUAAUCAUCAGAAUAAGCCUUACACAAGGGUUGGUUUCGAUGAGUGCAGUUUCUGUAAGCAGAAAGGUCAUUGGAAGGCUUAGUGUCCUAAGUUGAGACAGCAGAAUCAAGCUUGGAAGUCUGACAAUCCGUCACAAUCUAAUGCUCAUAGACCACCUCAGGGUUAUAAACCACAACAUCAUAAUACUGCAGCAAUAGCUUUUCCAGGCUCUAUUACUGAUCAUAAUAUUUUGGCUGAGCAAUUUUAGAAGUUUCUCUCCUUGCAGCCACAAGCAAUGUCCGCUUCUUUUUCCAUAGGUCAGUUGCCUCAUAGUUCCUCAGGUAUGUCACAUUCUGAAUGGGUUUUAGAUUCUGGUGUUUCCCAUCAUAUGUCUCCAGAUUCCUCAUCUUUUACCCCUGUAUCCCCCUUUGUCCUCCAUCCCUGUUAUGACUGCUGAUGACACUCAUAUACCCUUAGCAGGUGUUGGUUCUGUUGUCACAUCUCACAUCUCUCCUCACAACAUCAUAAUACUGCAGCAGUAGCUUCCCCAGGCUCUAUUACCGAUCCUAAUAUUUUGGCUGAGCAAUUUUAGAAGUUUCUCUCCUUGCAGCCACAAGCAAUAUCCACUUUUUCUUCCAUAGGUCAGUUGCCUCAUAGUUCCUCAAGUAUGUCACAUUCUGAAUGGGUCUUGGAUUCUGGUGUUUCCCAUCAUAUGUCUCUAGAUUCCUCAUCUUUUACCUCUGUAUCCCCUGUCCUCCAUCCCUGUUAUGACUGCUGAUGGCACUCAUAUGCCCUUAGCAGGUGUUGGUUCUGUUGUCACACUUCACAUGUCUCUCCUCACAACAUCAUAAUACUGCAGUAAUAACUUCCUCAGGCUCUAUUACCGAUCCUAAUAUUUUGGCUGAGCAAUUUCAGAAGUUUCUCUCCUUGCAGCCACAAGCAAUGUUUGUUUCUUCUUCUAUAGGUCAGUUGCCUCAUAGUUCCUCAGGUAUGUCACAUUCUGAAUGGGUCUUGGAUUCUGAUGCUUCCCAUCAUGUCUCCAGAUUCCUCAUCUUUUACCUCUGUAUCCCCUUUGUCCUCCAUCCCUGUUAUGACUGCUGAUGGCACUCAUAUGCCCUUAGCAGGUGUUGGUUCUGUUGUCACACCUCACAUGUCUCUCUCUAAUGUUUAUCUUAUUCCACAACUCAAACUGAAUCUUGCGUCUGUUGGUCAAAUAUAUGAUUCUGGUGAUUAUUUAGUCAUGUUUUCUGGUUCGUUUUAUUGUAUACAUGAUCUGCAGUCUCAGAAGCUGAUUGGGACAGGCUAUAGGGAGAAUGAACUUUAUAUUUUGGAUUAGUUAAAAGUACUAGUUGCUGCUGCUACCGCUGCUACUACUACCAUUGAUUUGUCUUCCUUUCGUUUGAGCCUUUCAUCUUCUAGUUUUUAUUUAUGGCAUUCCUGUCUAGGUCAUGUUUUGUCUUUUCGUUUGAGAUUUUUAGCAUGCAUAGGAGCUUUAGGAAAUUUAAAAACUUGUGACAUUUCUGAUUGUAGUGGAUGUAAAUUGGCAAAAUUUUCCGUCUUACCUUUUAAUCGAAGUAUUUCUGUUUCUUCUUCACCAUUUGAUUUGAUUCAUUCUGAUGUAUGAGAACCUUCUCCUGUUGUCACAAAAGGAGGGUCUCGAUAUUAUGUCUCUUUUAUUGAUGAUCAUACUCGUUAUUGUUGGGUUUAUUUAAUGAAACAUCAUUCUGAAUUCUUUAAGAUAUAUGCAGCUUUUCGAGCUCUUAUCAAAACUCAAUAUUCUGUUGUGAUCAAAUGUUUUAGGUGUGAUUUGGGUGGAAAAUACAUCUCUAAUAAAUUUUGCCAAUUGCUAGCCUUAGAUGGAACCAUCCACCAAACUUCAUGUACAGAUACUCCUGAGCAAAAUGGUGUUGCUGAAAGAAAAUAUAGGCAUAUUGUUGAAACUGCUCGUUCUCUCUUGUUGUCUGCUUUUGUUCCUAGUGAGUUUUGGGGAGAAGCUGUUCUUACUGCUGUAAGUUUGAUUAAUACGAUUCUAUCUUCUCAUAAUUCAGGUACUGGUACUUUACUCUCUAGCACAUCUAAAGCUCCAUUCUCAUCUACAACCCUUCAAGCUUCAUCUGAGAUUGUGGAUCCACCUCUACGUCAGUCCAUUCAUAUUCCAAGCUAUGGAUGAGGAACUUUCUGCUUUGCAUAAGACAAAUACUUGGGAUCUGGUUCCUCUACCUCCUGGUAAGAGUGUUGUUGGUUGUCGUUGGGUGUAUAAGAUCAAGACUAAUUCUGAUGGGUCUAUUGAGCGAUACAAAGUUAGGCUGGCUGCAAAAGGAUACUCUUAACAGUAUGGUAUGGACUAUGAGGAGACCUUUGCCCCGGUUGCAAAAAUGACUAAUAUUCAUAGUCUUAUUGUCGUAGCUUCGAUUCGUCAGUGGCAUAUUUCUCAGCUUGAUGUUAAAAAUACAUUCUUGAAUAGAGAUCUUAAAGAAGAAGUUUUUAUGGCACCCCUUCCUGGUAUUUCAUAUGACUCUGGAUAUGUUUGUAAGCUUAAGAAAGCAUUAUAUGGUCUCAAACAAGCACCCCGUGCUUGGUUUGAGAAAUUCUCUAUUGUGAUCUCAUCUCUUGACUUUGUUUCUAGCAGUCAUGAUUCUGCUCUUUUUAUUAAGUGCACUGAUGCAGGUCGUAACAUUCUGUCUUUAUAUGUUGAUGACAUGAUUAUUACUGGUGAUGACAUUGGUGGUAUUUCAGUUUUGAAGACCGAGUUGGCUAGACGAUUUGAGAUGAAGGAUUUGGGUUAUCUUCGAUAUUUCCUAGGUAUUGAGGUAGCAUACUCACCUAGAGGUUACCUUCUUUCCUAGUCUAAAUAUGUUGCAGAUAUUCUUGAGCGGGCUAGACUUACUGAUAACAAGACUGUAGAUACUCCUAUUGAGGUUAACGCGAGGUACUCUUCUUCUGAUGGUUUACCUUUGAUAGAUCCUACUUUAAACCGCACUAUUGUUGAGAGUUUGGUAUAUCUCACCAUUACUCGUCUAGAUAUUGCAUAUGUUGUUCAUGUUGUUAGUCAGUUUGUUGCUUCUCCUACUACUGUUCACUAGGCAGCUGUUCUUUGUAUUUUGCGAUAUCUUCGGGGUACAGUUUUUCAGAGUCUUUUACUUUCAUUCACCUCUUCCUUGGAGCUGUGUGCAUAUUCUAAUGCUGAUCAUGAUAGUGAUCCCACAGAUCGUAAGUCUGUUACCGGGUUUUGUAUUUUUUUAGGUGAUUCUCUUAUUUCUUGGAAGAGCAAGAAACAAUCUAUUAUUUUUCAAUCAUCUACCGAAGCAGAAUAUCGUGCCAUGACAUCUACUACCAAAGAGAUUGUUUGGUUAAGUUGGUUACUUGCUGAUAUGGGAGUUUCAUUUUCUCAUCUUACUCCUAUGUAUUGUGACAACCAGAGUUCUAUUCAGAUUGCUCACAACUCGGUUUUUCAUGAGUGGACUAAGUACAUUGAGAUUGAUUGUCAUCUUACUCGUCAUCAUCUUAAGCAUGGAACCAUUACUUUGCCUUUUGUUCCUUCUUCCUUGCAGAUUGCAGAUUUCUUUACCAAGACGCAUUCCAUCUCUCGUUUUUGUUUUCUGGUUGGCAAACUCUCGAUGCUUUGUAGCUGCCGCAUCGUGAGUUUGAGGGGAGAUGUUAAAUAAUAUUUAUGUAGUCUUAUUUAUUAAGGGUAGAAUAAUACUUUCAGUUUAACCUAUAUAUAUUUUAGUUGUAUUUAGGUUAAGACUAUGCAUUUCAUAAUAUAUAGAUUAUUCAGAAUUCUAGCCU
This is an RNA transcript of Populus nigra (black poplar), 5907 nucleotides long. It is a transcript of the gene named phytochrome A-associated F-box protein-like, with no coding region annotated. The transcript has 4 exons. The record is from RefSeq and is a predicted model, not a curated record. NCBI's taxonomy places the organism in Eukaryota, Viridiplantae, Streptophyta, Magnoliopsida, Malpighiales, Salicaceae.